GACGAACGCUGGCGGCGUGCUUAACACAUGCAAGUCGAACGGAAAGGCCCUGCUUUUGUGGGGUGCUCGAGUGGCGAACGGGUGAGUAACACGUGAGUAACCUGCCCUUGACUUUGGGAUAACUUCAGGAAACUGGGGCUAAUACCGGAUAGGAGCUCCUGCUGCAUGGUGGGGGUUGGAAAGUUGCGGCGGUUGGGGAUGGACGCGCGGCUUAUCAGCUUGUUGGUGGGGUAGUGGCUUACCAAGGCAUUGACGGGUAGCCGGCCUGGGAGGGUGACCGGCCACAUGGGGCCUGAGAGAGGGCGCAGACGCGUACGGGAGACAACAGUGGGAAAUAUUGCACAGUGGGCGGGAGCCGGAGGCAGCGGCGCCGCGGGCGGGAUGACGGUCUUUGGGUUGUGAACCGCAUUAGCCUGUGACGAAGCGGGAGUGACGGUAAUGGGUAAAGAAGCACCGGCUAACUACGUG
Molecule: ribosomal RNA, 468 nt
Filed under: uncultured bacterium
Lineage: Bacteria
Description: partial 16S ribosomal RNA
Rfam family: Bacterial small subunit ribosomal RNA
Source: RNAcentral